GAGAAUUCAGUUUAGUGCUACUUUUAAAAUAACUAUAUAAAAUAUAUAGUUUCCGGUUAUGUAGUAUUAUGAAUAAAUAUUUUCGAGAUAUCGCUGUUCUUUUUUACAAAUGAUAUUAUUUUUAAUUAAAUUUGCCUGCGCAGUGAUAAGCAUUUAAAAGCUAUUGGAGUGGUUCGAUUGCGCUUCAGCUUUACGUCAAGUCUUAUCUGGCCGCAAAUUAUACCUUUCUGAAAGGCGCUUAUACAGUCAAUCGUCUGAUAAUGCUGACGUACCGGCGUUCGCGGAAGAAACGUGUCUGUGUUAUUUUAAUUAUAGAAUACAAAUAAUUAUGGGAUAAUAAAGUGAUCAGCCUAAAUUAACUAAACAUCAUGCCAAUGAUCCGGAAGCUUCUAUUAAAACUGUGUACAAGGGGAAAAGCCGGCGAACAGUAGGCCUACAUGUCACCGAGAAGUGGGGCAGUAGGCAAAAGCUUGGAACGCAAUCACAAGAACUUGCAGAAGUUCAGAUUGAGAAUGAGAAACCAGAAACAAACUUAAUUGCUAACUGUACUACAAAUAGCAGUUCAGUAUCAGACGUAGAUACUUCGGUUACAUUUGAUGAAAAUAUAAGAUACGAUACUGAAAAGGCCAAACGUCUUGAAGAAUGGAAAAGUAUAUCUCCAGAAAUUAUGUCUGCUUAUGUACAAAUGCAGACACCCAAUAAGCGACAAUGUGCUGAUUGUUGUCUCUCCACAGAUGAACUGUACAGGUGUUGUGAUUGCUGUUCAUGGGAGACUACGUGCCUCACAUGCUUGCGGUUGAGGCAUAAACAUCCUCAUCUGCAUUUGGAAGAACAUGGCUUACCUUUCUUUCAUUGAUGAUGAUGAGGCUUGGAAAUUGAAUGACCAUUCCUGUAGCACUACUUACCUGAAAAAACUCGUGGUCGUGGAUGAUAAAGGUCGACAGCAUUUGAAGACCCUGCAAUUUUGCAAGUGUGAAGUUGAAGCCGUACGCUUGAUUAGGUUCAACUUGUGGCCAUCUUCAACCAAAUUUCCAAACGUGGCAUUUCACUUUGACUUCAUGCGCUGGUUAUGUGGUCUUCUUCUUGAAAGCUCGGUGUCAUUUAAAAGUUUCUGCUCCGCAUUAGACGCGUGGACAUCAAAGCACAUGAAGACAAAUAUUCAUCACCCUGUCAAAGAUUUGUACAAAGUGCUUGUAGGAGGAACAGCCGAUGAAUUUCGACAUUUUAUCUACCAAAUGGAAAACAUCCACGAUGAUGGAUCCAAAUGUCCAGCUUGUUAUGAGGAUUCUCCCUCCCUGAUAAGCUUGCUAGAGCGGAGGAUAUAGAAAAAAAAGCAAGGAGGCUCUUCAAGAAAUUUUGGAACCUUUUGCAGGAGUAACAACUGAAUGUCUACAGGAAUGGAUAGAUUAUGAGCGGGUUGUGUGUAUCCGCAGCAAAUCAACUGAAAAUCACUCCUUGUCACCUGCUGAAGAGUAUUGUCUAGUCCUGGAGGAGCUAACAAAAUACAGGGGUGUGUUUUCGACGGAUGUAAACAAAGAUAAGAAAAGGCUAGAGACAAAACUGAAAAAGAAAGGGAAGAAGGCUGGUGUAAAAUGGGACUCAACAAAUGUUGAUUACCUGCGGACACUCAAGACUGCACAAGAGAAACUAAGACUUCAGAUACUGGAGACCCUUCAACAGACCACUGCAGAGAGGCUGUUUUUGUUAGAUUUAAUGAAAAAGUAUGCAAGAGGACAAGCUGUAGCCAUAAGAUUGGGCAAGCAACAAAAAGAUGAGAGAACAGCUGUCGUUGUACAAUGCGGUUGGCGGGGAAGUCGUUAAAAUGCCGACACAUUUGUCAUUUGAAGAUGUAAAGUCGUGCGACAGCAAGCUGUGGGACAUUUUGAAGUCAUCAGAUGUAGGUGCUUGGAGGACCAGUGUGCCUGUGUCUGUAAAACAGCAAGCUGUUCGCCUGUUUUGCAUGACACAGAGAGCUGCAGAAGAAAAGGAACUUUUGAUUUCAGAAAUGAAGUCAACAUUACAUUUCUUUUCCAAUGAACAUUCAGGUCUUUUAAACAAGGUCCUGGAUAAUGUUAAAGGAGACAUGCCAGUCAUCAUCAAAGAAGGGCUUUAUGUGGAAAUGAAAUUUAAUUCAUUACUGAAGGCAUUCCAGUCAUAUCUCCCAGACUUAACACCGACUUUGCUUUCUGAUUUUGCACAAAAGGUUGGUCUAACCAGCGUUCAAGAGGCUCGUAUUUCUGAAAUAAAUUAUGGAAACUUACAAGAAUACGAGUUAGAACCCUCUGAACCAACUGAUGUAAUACUCAGUGAUGAGGAUUUUACAGACAGUGAUAGUGACAAUGACUCUGAUGGUGACAAUUAAAUGUUCAAAAGACAUCAUUGACUCAAAAGCAAUAUUGUCUUAAUUGUCUCAAUUGAAUUGUUCGCAAUAAGUGUUCUAAGAUAAGACAAACAACUGUGCUAUGGCUUUUUAAAUGCUCUUGUUUGUAGCUCAACUGGUAGCUCAACUGAGCACAAUGUGAGCUUUUGUGAUUGCCUUUUGUCCGUCGUUGGUUGUAUAACACAAAAGCUCACAUUGUGCUCAGUUGAGCAAAAUCAGAAAGCAAAGUCAGGGUUUACUCUGGGAGAUCUGGGAGAUAUGACUGGAAUGCCUUCAGUAGUGAAUUACUUGAAUCACUUUCCAGCCAUAUCAGUAAAAAGGUGAUUGGCAUUUAUUUCGUAUUUAAAUUCGCUUUAUAUAUCGACUUUUCUCCCCGCAAAUUUUGUUAGUGGAGCCCAAAUUAGGUCAUCCCGCUAGGAAAUUUCGCAGCGAGUAAAGUCGAGAUAUAUAUAGAGCGAAUAUAACUAUGAAAUAAACGCCAGUAUCUUUCUUGCUAAUAUGGCUGGAAAGUGAGCGGAAUUUAAAAACUUAUGCUUUGUAAGCACACUUAUCGGCCACAUUUAUUGUUCGAUCUUUUUCAUCUUGUUAACUCAAUAUUUAUUGUCCACUACCGGUGAAACCGGGGGGGGGGGACUUAUUGUUUGCGCUCCGUGUGUCAGUCUGUCUGCGUGUGUCAGUCUGUCUUUCAGUCCGUCACACUUUUCUGGAUCCUGCGAUAACUUCAAAGUUCUUCAUAUUUUUUUAUGAAACUUGAAACGUGGACAGAUGGCUUAUAUGGAGAUUAUGCACGUCAAUUAAUUUUGUUCCUAUGUCAAAAAUUGUGGUUGCUAUGGCAACAAAUGUAAAAAAAAAAUUACUGACUGGUGGAGUUUUACCGGUAGGGGACCAUAUUGCUUGGCAAUCUCUUGUUCCAUAUAUACUGAAGUUGUUAUCCCCCGCCAUUGGCAGAGGGAUAUUGUUUUGGCAUUUUCCGUCCGUCCGUCCGGAGCCAUAUCUUGGAAGUACUUUGGCGGAUUUCAUUGAAACUUGGUAUGUGUAUAAAUAUGGAUAAGAGGAUGAUGCACGCCAAAUGGCAUUGUACACAAUCUGUUAAUAACGGAGUUAUGGCCCUUUGUAUCUUGAAAAAAUGCUUUUUUGUGUGUCCGGAGCCAUAUUUUGGAAGUGCUUUGGCCAAUAUCAUUGAAACUUGGUAUGAGUAUAUAUAUAUAUAUAUUAUAUAUAUAUAUGGAUAAGAGGAUGAUGCAUGUCAAAUGGCAUUGUACACCAUCUGUUAAUAAAGGAGUUAUUGCCCUUUUUAUCUUGGAAAAAAAUGCUUUUUUGAUUGUCAAAUAUAACACUUGUGUCCAGAAGCAUAUUGGCUGGGGGAUAUCAAUUCAACGAAUUUGCUCGUUAUAAACUCACAUUUCAAUGACAAUUUAUGAUAUCUGUUUUCCAGCUGUAUACUGUAUCAUAUGUAAAUCAUGAUUGUGUUGGUAUGCUUGUUUCUUUUUGUUUUUAAAUGCCCCAUGCUACAAAACAAAUUGAAUUGUUCAUGCUUAUAUACUUUUGCCUCAAGUAUUCUCAUAAGGUCAUUUGAAAUGAUGAAACAGUUGCUAUUUUACGAGAACAAUGAUCAGAAUAGAUCAUCUAUAAUUUUGUUGUGUAAAGAGGAUCGAUAAUUGGUUAAUUCUAACUUGUACUAAUACUCAUACCAAUAUUAAAACAUACAUUAAUCCAAAGGAUAAACCAUUCUAGAAUUUACAGAGAAAACUAUUCCUUAUAGAUUAUUUAUAAUUUCUUUGCGUAUAGGUGGUCGUAUACAGAAAUAAUUAAACUAACAAUCAUGUUCAGGUUGCUAUUAUCAUAAAUAUAUAUAUAAACUGACAAUCAUGUUCAGAUUACUAUUAUCACAAAUACAUGCAUAUAUAUAACAAUUUUAAAAGCAAUUGAUAUAUAUGUCUCAAAAGCUAUGUCCUUUUUACGUCCCAGUCUAUACUUGGGGACAUAUUAUAUUUGCCCUGUCUGUUUGUUGGUUUGUUUGCGUCAAACUUUAACAUUGGCCAUAACUUUUGCAAUAUUGAAGAUAGCAACUUGAUAUUUGGCAUGCAUGCGUAUCUCAUGGAGCUGCACAUUUUGAGUGGUGAUAGGUCAAGGUCAUCCUUCAAGGUCAAAGGUCAAAUAUAUGGGUGGGACCUAGUGUUUCACAAACAUAUCUUGUUUAGUAUAGACUUCAACAUAUCUUGGACAAUACAAUUUAAGAGCAAUUAAGAGGUUGAUGGUUCCACCCCUUUGCUUUUCUGUUGCUGAAAUGGUGUUAGUACAUACACCAAUCAAUUGUUGUUACACCGAUUUACCCUGUUAAUUUUUUUGUGUGUAUGGUGUCGCUUUGCUUCAGCUUGUUUUUGUGAUACUGUAGAUGUUGUUGAGUACUGAAAGGUAAUUAGUAAGGUAUGUAAAACUUAGCUUAACACUUAUGGACAAUGUUUUUGCAUAGUUUAAAUUGUAUGUAUGUUGAGUCAUGUUAUUAAUUGCUUGCAAUAAUUUUAUAUUGUGAAUCAAUGUAUGAAAAAUAAACCUGAAUGAAAUGAAAAUCA
Molecule: long non-coding RNA, 4953 nt
Organism: Dreissena polymorpha
Lineage: Eukaryota; Metazoa; Mollusca; Bivalvia; Myida; Dreissenidae
Exons: 11
Source: RefSeq, a predicted model, not a curated record